AGAGAGGCAGGCGGGCAGGAGCUGCAGGGGCGGUGGGUGCCAGGCUGGACAAAGGCCCAGGAGGCUGGGGAGCAGGGGGCAUGGCUCGCUGCGGGCCCCUGGGGACAUCUGAUCCAGGCUGGGGCUGUGUCUGCAUCUGGGUGACCUCAGGGCCAAGUGGCUGUCCGUGAGAAUUCCCAGAGCAUUUUGAAGCCCGAUGCCUCCAUAGGGACAUUUGGAGACAGAAAAGCAGGAGUGGAAGAGAAAGCCGAGCGCAGCGGAGGGAUGCUACAUAAAGGCAACGGUGACCAUGGACAGAGGGCUCCCUCCCGUGCCAGGCACGAUCUGUCACCCGGAGCUUCUCACCUAGUUUUGCAAUAACCACAUGGGGUGUGGUGUCACGUCCACUUCACAGGUGAGGAAUCAAGCAUCUUACCCAAGACCUGACAGCUUUUAAAAUAGAGCGGGGAGAAAGCAAACCAGUGGAGGACAACGACGUUGAGAACGGCCUGCGGAUGGCGGCUGGGCAGCGCCGGGUCUGAAGGUCAGGCUUCCCAACUUGAACAAGCUAAGAAGCCAGUGGGGUCACAUCUGCUCCUUUGUGGCCCAUAUUAUUAAAGCAGGACGAGAUGGGAUGACCACACCAGGUAACACGGUCCAAGUCUCAGGUAGCAGCCAGACGUGCCUGAACUCUCUACCCUGUCCGGCACCUGUGCUCCACUCCUCCAACAGCAAGAAGACACAAGGCUUAAAGCGUCUCAUAGCUCAGAAACCACUUCCCCCACUUUUGUCUUCUUCUUCUUUUUGGUGGUGUCCCUGAGCCCAUCUCUCAGCUCAUGCCCACUCUCUGGCACAGCCUUGGUCUUCUUAUUCUUGUUCUCGUUCUUCUUUUUUUUUUUUUGAUUUUUUUUUUUUUUUUGCUGAGGAAGAUUCUCCCUGAGCUAACAUCUGUGCCCAUCUUCCCCUAUUUUGCAUGUGGGUCACCGACACAGCACAGCCACUGAUGAGUAGUGUAGGUCCAGGCCCAGGAACCGAACCUGGGCUGCCGAAGUGGAGUGCACCAAACUCAGCCAGCAGGCCCCAGGCCCAGCCCCCUCUUCUUCUCCUUCUUAACUGGGGAGCCACUAGAGAGGCCUCCUCACGUUCACCCCCACUCCCUCACUUCCACUUUGGGGCAUUUACUGUUUCAGCAACCACCUCUCUGUCUGCAGAAUCGCUGAGAGAGGAGACGUGGCAGCAGGUCAGGUUCUCUGAGCGGCUCUCCAAGGAGGUACCACCGUCUCCUCAGUUCAUCUGUGCUCUCCGGCAAGUCCAAAGUCACCCUCAGAACACCGAGGCUGGACACAACUCCCCCGUGCGCCUGCGGGGCCACACCUUCUCAAGUCCCAUGAGCCCGAGCAGGAGGGGAUACUGUCUGCUUUGUCCUUUUUGUUGCAAUACAAUCUCACAGUCUCAGGGAAGAUGCAAGAAUUGUGCAAAAAAAGAACUCUCAUGUCCCCUUCCCCAGAUUCUCCCAUCAAUAACAUUUGCUUUCUCUCUCUCUCUAAACACAGAUAAAUAAAGAUGCAAGAUAGAAAGAGAGAGAGAGAGGUUUUUUCCCCUGCGCCGUCAUAGAUUAGGUCGCAGAAACCACACCUCUUCACUAAAUAUCUUUGCUUGAUAUCUCAGAGUAUUUCCUAAGAACAAGGACUUUGUCUUAUGUAAUCACAGCACAAUUUUCAAUAUCUGGAAAUGUAACGUGAACAUGGGACUACUACGGAACUCCCAGUUCACACUUACAUUUUGCCAAUUGUCCCCCCAGGCCGGGCUCAAAUCCAGGACCACGUUUUGCACUUACCUGCCAUGUCACUUUAGUCUCCUUUCACCUGCCUUUCUUUGUCUUUCAUGAUUCUAAGUUUUUUGGUAAGAGAACAGGCAGGUUAUUCAGAAUGUCCCAUAAUCUGCAUUUAUUUUACG
This 1935-nucleotide long non-coding RNA is filed under the name Equus asinus (donkey). Its description in RNAcentral is "lncRNA (ENSEASG00005035363.1)". The record is from RNAcentral. Lineage: Eukaryota; Metazoa; Chordata; Mammalia; Perissodactyla; Equidae.